AUUUAUCGCCUUUGGAUAAGCCCGCGUAAGAUUAGCUAGUUGGUGAGGUAACGGCUCACCAAGGCGACGAUCUUUAGCUGGUCUGAGAGGAUGAUCAGCCACAUUGGGACUGAGACACGGCCCAGACUCCUACGGGAGGCAGCAGUGGGGAAUAUUGCGCAAUGGGGGAAACCCUGACGCAGUCAUGCCGCGUGAGU
This 197-nucleotide ribosomal RNA is filed under the name uncultured Pseudomonadota bacterium. RNAcentral's name for it is "uncultured proteobacterium partial 16S ribosomal RNA". It matches the Rfam family "Bacterial small subunit ribosomal RNA", at positions 210 to 406 of the family's 1533-position model. The record is from RNAcentral. Lineage: Bacteria; Pseudomonadati; Pseudomonadota.